UACGUAGGGGGCGAGCGUUGUCCGGAAUCAUUGGGCGUAAAGCGCGUGUAGGCGGCUUGUCGCGUCGGCUGUGAAAUCCCGUGGCUCAACUGUGGGCGGGCAGCUGAUACUGGCAGGCUGGAGUUCGGUAGGGGAGACUGGAAUUCCUGGUGUAGCGGUGAAAUGCGCAGAUAUCAGGAGGAACACCGACGGCGAAGGCAGCACUCUGGGCCGGUACUGACGCUGAGGAGCGAAAGCAUGGGGAGCGAACAGG
RNAcentral lists this ribosomal RNA (253 nucleotides) under uncultured bacterium. RNAcentral's name for it is "partial 16S ribosomal RNA". It matches the Rfam family "Bacterial small subunit ribosomal RNA", at positions 524 to 776 of the family's 1533-position model. The record is from RNAcentral.